This 375-nucleotide ribosomal RNA is filed under the name uncultured prokaryote. RNAcentral's name for it is "bacterial SSU rRNA". It matches the Rfam family "Bacterial small subunit ribosomal RNA", at positions 524 to 896 of the family's 1533-position model. The record is from RNAcentral.
UACGAGAGGUGCAAGCGUUAUUCGGAAUUACUGGGCGUAAAGGGUGCGUAGACGGUUCAUUAAGUCUUUUGUUUAAGACCCCGGCCUAACUGGGGACCAGCAGAAGAUACUGAUAGACUAGAGGAUGGAAGAGAGAAGCGGAAUUCUCGGAGUAGCGGUUAAAUGCGUAGAUCUCGAGAGGAACACCGAUGGCGAAAGCAGCUUCUUGGUCCAUAUCUGACGUUGAGGCACGAAAGCGUGGGGAGCAAACAGGAUUAGAUACCCUGGUAGUCCACGCUGUAAACGAUGAUCACUAGACGUCGGUUUUGCGUUGCAAAAUCGGUGUCGUAGCUAACGCGAUAAGUGAUCCGCCUGGGGAGUACGGUCGCAAGACUA